UUGACUGUGCAAAGGUAGCAUAAUUAUUAGUUUUUUAAUUGAAAGCUUGUAUGAAGGGUUGGACGAGAUAAAAUCUGUCUUUAUUUAAAUUACAAUAGAAUUUAACUUUUAAGUCAAAAGGCUUAAAUGUAUAUAAAAGACGAGAAGACCCUAUAGAUCUUUAUUUAAUUAAUAUUUUGAUAAUUUAAGAUUAUUUUAGUUUAAAGUUUUAAUUAAAUUUUAUUGGGGUAAUAUAGAGAUUAAAUAAAUUCUUUUUAUUUAUUACAUUGAUUUAUGAAUAUAUGAUCCAAUAUUAUUGAUUAUAAGAUUAAGUUACCUUAGGGAUAACAGCGUAAUUUUUUUGGAGAGCUCAUAUCGAUAAAAAAGUUUGCGACCUCGAUGUUGGAUUAAAAAUUAGCUUGGGUGCAGAAGCUCAAGAUUUUGGUCUGUUCGACCAUUAAAUUUUUACAUGAUCUGAGUUCAGACCGGCGUAAGCCAGGUCGGUUUCUAUCUUUAUUUAUCUAAAAUAUUUUAGUACGAAAGGACCAAAUAUUUAAUAUAAUUAUAUUUCUUUUUUGAAUAAUAUU
Molecule: ribosomal RNA, 566 nt
Filed under: Cicindela hybrida
Lineage: Eukaryota; Metazoa; Arthropoda; Insecta; Coleoptera; Carabidae
Description: partial 16S ribosomal RNA
Rfam family: Bacterial large subunit ribosomal RNA
Source: RNAcentral